RNAcentral lists this long non-coding RNA (1614 nucleotides) under Cricetulus griseus (Chinese hamster). RNAcentral's name for it is "lncRNA (ENSCGRG00000024755.1)". The record is from RNAcentral. Lineage: Eukaryota; Metazoa; Chordata; Mammalia; Rodentia; Cricetidae.
GUACCUCAUACAAGUGGAAGCUGCAGGAUUUGCCUUGAGCACUGGGAGUGUUUCGUUUAGCACAGUACCUUCUACACUGUCAACGUGGCACCCUGAAGAAGAUUUAAUCUUACACGAAGACACAUUUUCUUCCACCACUCACCUGUCAAUGGACAAACAGGUUGUCUCCUAAGUUGGUUAGUGUGAACACUGCUGCCAUGAAAAUGAACACACAGCUACCUGUCUGAGGUCAUGAUUUCAAUUCUUUGGAAUAAAUACCAAGAAGUAGGACUUUUGAGUAACAUUGUAGGCUGAUUUUAAGUAUGGAGGAAGCCCUGCAUAACUUUCAGAUCAUUAACAGCAAUGACCAAGACUCCCUUUCUUCAUAUUCUUGCCAGUACUCUUGCCAUCUUCUGGGUUUCCCUUCUGAAUCAGCUGUUCUGAGUGGUGCGAUGCAGGACUUCACCGUGUUCCUAUGUUUUCUGACGACUCAGCAACCCAGAAGCACCACACUCCACUCCCUGUACGCGUGGAAGGGGAGUUCUCUCCGCCUCUCCCUGUAGAUAGACUCAAGGAUCCACAACCGGAUGAAGAGAGCCGGUUGGAGCAGAAGUUCUCCGUGGGUGACCUCGACCCUACACUCCACACUCCUGUCCAGCUUCGGUGUCUGCUGUCUGUCCAGCACGGGGGCAGCAUCCUAGACGCGGUUUCUGCGGACCCUCCCUUCCAGUGUAGCCACCAAUCGCAGUGCGGCAACCUGAGAUGUCAACAGAGCAUCCUCCCAGGUGGAGACCAGCUGUCCAGCUGUCCUCUGAGAGUGCUCCCUGUACUGGCCCGGGGCCUUUGCUACCAAAGAUCUCAGUGUAAGUUUAUUUUCGACGGUUAAGUUUCUUUCUUUCUUUCUUUCUUUUUUUUUUAUUUUCCUGUGUGCAGGAACGUUUGUUGAUAUCCAUCUUUAAGUAGGUAAACGUGUUCAGUGUAGAGUACUCAAUAAACAAAGUCUCUGUCAGGGACUGCCAGGCUGACUGUCGUGUAGAAAAGAAAACAAAUAGAACACAAACAAAUAGAAAAUACUGGUUACAGUAAAAUGUCACCUUAUGCAAAACAAGAGUCCACUUGCUGGCACACUUGUGGACCUUUCUGGUAAUUCUUUUUCUGGGGUCCUAACAAGUAUGAUCUCCAGUAUACACAAAGCUAUAAUAAACCAUCUCUUCUGCUGGUUAGGGGGUCUACCUAUCAUCUUAAGGAAAAGUGUGUUUAUAAAGACAUUUUCUGAUACUCAGCAUAAUUCUCACUUCAAAGAAAGCUUGUGUUAUUUACUAAUAGUCAGUUGUCAUGGGGGGAGGGGGAGUGGCUCACCAAUGGUGACCUAACAGACCACCAGGGACAUGGAGUGCUUUCUGAAGUCUCAUAAUACAAUGUAAGUUAGUUCAGAGCUGCCAGUCCCACUGUUUGUUCUUACCAGGAACACCCAGCCCUUCCUUCGCAUUUUAUAGAGUCUGUAUUGUAACAAGGGCAGCACUUUAGAUCGUCAAAGACGAAACAACAGAAGUGUAUGUGUGAUAAGGGACACUCAGAAUUCUCCAUUAGUGUGGACACGGACGGAUGGACGGAUGGACAGACGGACACACACAC